Molecule: ribosomal RNA, 265 nt
Filed under: uncultured bacterium
Lineage: Bacteria
Description: partial 16S ribosomal RNA
Rfam family: Bacterial small subunit ribosomal RNA
Source: RNAcentral
GUCCACGCCCUAAACUAUGUCAACUAGUUGUCGGGGAAGCAAUUCCUUGGUAACGAAGCUAACGCGUGAAGUUGACCGCCUGGGGGAGUACGGUCGCAAGAUUAAAACUCAAAGGAAUUGACGGGGGCCCGCACAAGCGGUGGAUGAUGUGGAUUAAUUCGAUGCAACGCGAAAAACCUUACCUACCCUUGACAUGCCCGGGAGGCCGAUGAAAGUUGGCUGUGCUCGAAAGAGAGCCGGGACACAGGUGCUGCAUGGCUGUCGU